Molecule: long non-coding RNA, 510 nt
Filed under: Rattus norvegicus (Norway rat)
Lineage: Eukaryota; Metazoa; Chordata; Mammalia; Rodentia; Muridae
Description: long non-coding RNA NONRATT032122
Source: RNAcentral
CACAGGUUUACACCUCUGAGGUAAAACUGAAUUUCUUACCACAUUUUCUUUUGUCUUUCCCACAGCACAUGAAUGAAGACCUAAGCUUUUGGAACAACUGUUGGAAUAGGGCUUACAUAGACAUAGACAUGAACGCUUUUGGUUCUGGAGGUGGCCUGGAACCAAACGUCCAUGAAUCUGAAGGAAGGAGAGACGGCAGCUGACAUUUUCAAUUUGACAAGGCACUUGCGCUCUACAUUGUUUGAAAUAAAAAUUUGCAGUCAUGUUGUGGCUAGGUAAUUCAAGCAUAUGGAAUGCUUAAACGUUCAGAAACAAUAGGCAGUCGGGAACUCCUAUAUCAGAAUACAUUUUUGUACUUUGACAAGUGACAGAAAAGAUAUAAAAGAAUGUCCCGCUGUUAGAGGAGCCCAGACUGAAAUCCACUCUACAAUGACCUUGUGGGAAAUCAGAAUGGUGGAGGGGCACACCGAACUCUGACAGAAUUGAAAAAGAAUACAGCCUUCUGAAAAG